RNAcentral lists this ribosomal RNA (253 nucleotides) under uncultured bacterium. Its description in RNAcentral is "partial 16S ribosomal RNA". It matches the Rfam family "Bacterial small subunit ribosomal RNA", at positions 524 to 776 of the family's 1533-position model. The record is from RNAcentral.
UACAGAGGUCCCAAGCGUUGUUCGGAUUCACUGGGCGUAAAGGGUGCGUAGGCGGUCGGGUAAGUCUGAUGUGAAAUCUCACAGCUUAACUGUGAAACUGCAUUGGAUACUACUCGGCUAGAGAGUUGGAGGGGGGACUGGAAUUCUUGGUGUAGCAGUGAAAUGCGUAGAUAUCAAGAGGAACACCAGUGGCGAAGGCGAGUCCCUGGACAACUUCUGACGCUGAGGCACGAAAGCUAGGGGAGCAAACAGG